RNAcentral lists this transfer RNA (76 nucleotides) under Oceanospirillaceae bacterium. RNAcentral's name for it is "tRNA-Gln". It matches the Rfam family "tRNA". Rfam says of the family: Transfer RNA (tRNA) molecules are approximately 80 nucleotides in length. Their secondary structure includes four short double-helical elements and three loops (D, anti-codon, and T loops). Further hydrogen bonds mediate the characteristic L-shaped molecular structure. tRNAs have two regions of fundamental functional importance: the anti-codon, which is responsible for specific mRNA codon recognition, and the 3' end, to which the tRNAs corresponding amino acid is attached (by aminoacyl-tRNA synthetases). tRNAs cope with the degeneracy of the genetic code in two manners: having more than one tRNA (with a specific anti-codon) for a particular amino acid; and 'wobble' base-pairing, i.e. permitting non-standard base-pairing at the 3rd anti-codon position. Lineage: Bacteria; Pseudomonadati; Pseudomonadota; Gammaproteobacteria; Oceanospirillales; Oceanospirillaceae. RNAcentral also lists the same sequence under 18 other names. The record is from RNAcentral.
AGGGGUAUAGCCAAGUUGGUAAGGCACUGGAUUCUGAUUCCAGCAUUCGUAGGUUCGAGUCCUGCUACCCCUGCCA